This 72-nucleotide transfer RNA is filed under the name Bos taurus (domestic cattle). It matches the Rfam family "tRNA". Rfam says of the family: Transfer RNA (tRNA) molecules are approximately 80 nucleotides in length. Their secondary structure includes four short double-helical elements and three loops (D, anti-codon, and T loops). Lineage: Eukaryota; Metazoa; Chordata; Mammalia; Artiodactyla; Bovidae. The record is from Rfam by way of RNAcentral. RNAcentral also lists the same sequence under 3 other names.
UCACUGGUGGUCUAGUGGUUAGGAUUUGGUACUCUCACUGCAAUGGCCGGGGUUCGAUUCCUGGUUAGGGAA